RNAcentral lists this ribosomal RNA (492 nucleotides) under uncultured bacterium. RNAcentral describes it as "partial 16S ribosomal RNA". It matches the Rfam family "Bacterial small subunit ribosomal RNA", at positions 29 to 507 of the family's 1533-position model. The record is from RNAcentral.
AGUGAACGCUGGCGGUAGGCCUAACACAUGCAAGUCGAACGGCAGCACAGUAAGAGCUUGCUCUUACGGGUGGGGAGUGGCGGACGGGUGAGGAAUACAUCGGAAUCUACUUUUUCGUGGGGGCUAACGUAGGGACACUUACGCUAAUACCGCAUACGACCUACGGGUGAAAGCAGGGGAUCUUCGGACCUUGCGCGAUUCAAUGAGCCGAUGUCGGAUUAGCUAGUUGGCGGGGUAAAGGCCCACCAAGGCGACGAUCCGUAGCUGGUCUGAGAGGAUGAUCAGCCACACUGGAACUGAGACACGGUCCAGACUCCUACGGGAGGCAGCAGUGGGGAAUAUUGGACAAUGGGCGCAAGCCUGAUCCAGCCAUACCGCGUGGGUGAAGAAGGCCUUCGGAUUGUAAAGCCCUUUUGUUGGGAAAGAAAAGCAGCAGGUUAAUACCCCGCUGUUCUGACGGUACCCAAAGAAUAAGCACCGGCUAACUUCGUG